Molecule: ribosomal RNA, 651 nt
Filed under: uncultured bacterium
Lineage: Bacteria
Description: bacterial SSU rRNA
Rfam family: Bacterial small subunit ribosomal RNA
Source: RNAcentral
AGAGUUUGAUCCUGGCUCAGGAUGAACGCUAGCGGCAGGCCUAAUACAUGCAAGUCGAACGGUGUAGCAAUACAUAGUGGCGCACGGGUGCGUAACACGUAUGCAACCUACCUUAUACUGAGGGAUAGCCUUUGGAAACGGAGAUUAAUACCUCAUGGGACAUUGACUUGGCAUCGGGUUAAUGUUAAAGAUUUAUUGGUAUAAGAUGGGCAUGCGUCCAAUUAGUUAGUUGGUGAGGUAACGGCUCACCAAGACGAUGAUUGGUAGGGGAACUGAGAGGUUAAUCCCCCACACUGGCACUGAGAUACGGGCCAGACUCCUACGGGAGGCAGCAGUAGGGAAUAUUGGGCAAUGGAGGCAACUCUGACCCAGCCAUGCCGCGUGCAGGAUGAAGGCGUUAUGCGUUGUAAACUGCUUUUAUAUAGGAAGAAAUAGACCUUGCGAGGUAAGUUGACGGUACUAUAUGAAUAAGCACCGGCUAACUCCGUGCCAGCAGCCGCGGUAAUACGGAGGGUGCAAGCGUUGUCCGGAUUUAUUGGGUUUAAAGGGUGCGUAGGCGGUUUAUUAAGUCAGUGGUGAAAGACGGUCGCUCAACGAUUGCAGUGCCAUUGAUACUGGUAGACUUGAGUGGGAUUGAGGUAGCUGGAAUGG